This 301-nucleotide ribosomal RNA is filed under the name uncultured bacterium. RNAcentral's name for it is "partial 16S ribosomal RNA". It matches the Rfam family "Bacterial small subunit ribosomal RNA", at positions 509 to 807 of the family's 1533-position model. The record is from RNAcentral.
CAGUCGCCGCGGUAAUACGGAGGGAGCUAGCGUUGUUCGGAAUUACUGGGCGUAAAGCGCGCGUAGGCGGUUACUCAAGUCAGAGGUGAAAGCCCGGGGCUCAACCCCGGAACUGCCUUUGAAACUAGGUGACUAGAAUCUUGGAGAGGUCAGUGGAAUUCCGAGUGUAGAGGUGAAAUUCGUAGAUAUUCGGAAGAACACCAGUGGCGAAGGCGACUGACUGGACAAGUAUUGACGCUGAGGUGCGAAAGCGUGGGGAGCAAACAGGAUUAGAUACCCCAGUAGUCCCUGUCUCUUAUAC